AUGAGGGCCGGGCCUGGAGCCCGUCCUGGCUCCAGACGCCUCCCCAGUGGGAUGGGGCUGGCAGCCGUGAGGCUGGGAGCGGGGGAGAUAAGAUCGGGUGACUCACCGCCUGGCUGGAGGGGCUGCUCUGUGAGAGGGGGUGUGGAGCCAGGCCAGGGCAUCAGGCUCGCCGUGGACGCGGGUUUAUCUCCCAUGGAGCGUCUCAGCAGAAGUCAGACCCAUGAGUCUAAAGCCAAGCGGGGCGCGGCCUGGCCGCGGCGAGGGCUGAGCCAGGUGAGAAAAAGAAGAGUUGCCAUAAACAAAUCUUUCAAAACCUGGGAGCCGUGCACAAAGACCAUGGACCCCCUGGGCUGCGAGCCCCUCCCCGCCCCGCUCCAUCCUCCACACCCACCGGACGCCUGGCUGUGGCGUGGCGGGCUCUGUGUCCACCUGCGGCCCCUCUGCGGCCCCACCUGGCAGGGGCCCAGGGGUUAGGAUGCAGGUCCCUCUGCGGCGUUGCUGUCGGACUGCAGGCUGGCUUGGAGUGACCUCCCUCUGGCACCCUUCAGGGAAGACUUGACUGCUGUGCAAACCGCCGCCCGGGCCCCUCUGCCUGAGCCAGCCCGUGCAGGUGCCACACCUCCGCCUCCCGCCACCAUCCGUCCAGACCUGGGCCUGCCCCUCCCCCUCCUCCCUCCCCCCUCCUCCUCCCCUCCCCCCCUUCUCCCCCCUCCACCCUUCCCCGCUCCUCUUCAUGCCCAGCCCUCCUCUGUCUGGUCCACCCUCCCUCUGUCCACCGGCCACACUGGCCCCCGGGGGGAUGUGAGCUCUGGGGCCGGGGGAGGGGGGCGCAGGGCGUCUGGCUGCUGCCAUCUUCUUCCUCCUGGAGACUUCAUCCUGCGGAACCCACCCAUCGCUCCGUCCCGCUAAGUGAGCCUGUAGCGACUGUGGGUUGUUCAUGCCACCGGGACAGCCAGUGCCAAAUGUUCUCGGCCCCACGCGGGACCUCCCGAGGGAGAGGCCCUCCCGUGGGGUCAGACUGAGCAAAUGACGUAGAAUUUGGGAGAAAAUAAGCUCUCCCAGUCCUGUUUCCCCCUCAUCUAACUGGAGUUUUGAUUUCCUGUCAGGUUAAACAUCGUGGUUUUUGCACGUGGUGAAGGAAUUCACCCGUGUAAGUUCACGCAUACUUGGAUGAACUGGUCCCGCCCGCUUGCCCUUGGGCGUUUUCUGGAUUGCUCCUUUCCCGGUUUAGAAGGACCCUUCUCCCUCUGGUUAACGCGAACCCCAUCGAAGCCUCAGCUCGCACUUUCUCUUAAGCAGAAAGGGGAGUUCCCAGCCAGCCGUGCUGCUUUUAUUUAUAGCACUUGAUUUCCUGAGAGGAGUCAGGGAACGUCCGUCCUCCCCUGGCCCCUCGGGCUCCUCCUCUGCCCUCGGUCCCCCAGCUGCGGGCGGGCGGGGGCGGCGUGGGGGCUGGACGGGGACCCCCGUGCCAGGU
RNAcentral lists this long non-coding RNA (1474 nucleotides) under Sus scrofa (pig). Its description in RNAcentral is "lncRNA (ENSSSCG00070027338.1)". The record is from RNAcentral. Lineage: Eukaryota; Metazoa; Chordata; Mammalia; Artiodactyla; Suidae.